This 300-nucleotide ribosomal RNA is filed under the name uncultured Methanocaldococcus sp. RNAcentral describes it as "bacterial SSU rRNA". It matches the Rfam family "Bacterial small subunit ribosomal RNA", at positions 495 to 794 of the family's 1533-position model. Lineage: Archaea; Methanobacteriati; Methanobacteriota; Methanococci; Methanococcales; Methanocaldococcaceae. The record is from RNAcentral.
GGCUAACUCCGGGCCGGCAGCGGCGGUAAUUAGGGGGGUGCAAGAGUUAAUCGGAAUUACUGUGCGUAAAGCGCACGCCGGCGGGUGGAUAAGUCAGAUGUGAAAGCCCCGGGCUCAACCUGGGAACUGCAGUUGAAACUGUCCGGCUAGAGUCUUGUAGAGGGGGGUAGAAUUCCAGGUGUAGCGGUGAAAUGCGUAGAGAUCUGGAGGAAUACCGGUGGCGAAGGCGGCCCCCUGGACAAAGACUGACGCUCAGGUGCGAAAGCGUGGGGAGCAAACAGGAUUAGAUACCCUUGUAUC